GAGUCGUACACGUCAUGGAGUCUGGUCAGUUUUCGAUUAUUGUGCGUAGAUUAGACUGGUGGAAAGUUAUUUCCAUUCGGGGCAUGAUCCAAUCAUGGAGAUAUUCUUCCUUAUCUUGACUUUCUUGAAUUGAAGGAAACACGGGAUCAGUUAACGAAAACUACUGUACAUCAUAGUCGGAGGUUGGCUCGAGCCAAUCUGAGAGAACGACGGUUCUGGCCCGAGGCGAAGCCAAUAUACUAGCAUCGGGGGCCAUGGCCCAUGACGGCCCAAGCCCGAAGCCCAUAAUUACAUUAAAUUUUUUGCUGGCCCCUGCCCCCAAUGGUGAGACCCUCCUCCAC
Molecule: long non-coding RNA, 341 nt
Filed under: Elaeis guineensis (African oil palm)
Lineage: Eukaryota; Viridiplantae; Streptophyta; Magnoliopsida; Arecales; Arecaceae
Description: long non-coding RNA (EGUI_LNC028857)
Source: RNAcentral